This 482-nucleotide ribosomal RNA is filed under the name uncultured bacterium. RNAcentral's name for it is "partial 16S ribosomal RNA". It matches the Rfam family "Bacterial small subunit ribosomal RNA", at positions 28 to 507 of the family's 1533-position model. The record is from RNAcentral.
GACGAACGCUGGCGGCGUGCUUAACACAUGCAAGUCGAACGCUGAAGCUCAGCUUGCUGGGUGGAUGAGUGGCGAACGGGUGAGUAACACGUGAGUAACCUGCCCUCUUCUUUGGGAUAACGCCCGGAAACGGGUGCUAAUACUGGAUAUUCACUGAUUCUCGCAUGGGGGUUGGUGGAAAGGUUUUUUCCGGUGGGGGAUGGGCUCGCGGCCUAUCAGCUUGUUGGUGGGGUGAUGGCCUACCAAGGCUUUGACGGGUAGCCGGCCUGAGAGGGUGACCGGUCACAUUGGGACUGAGAUACGGCCCAGACUCCUACGGGAGGCAGCAGUGGGGAAUAUUGCACAAUGGGCGAAAGCCUGAUGCAGCGACGCCGCGUGAGGGAUGGAGGCCUUCGGGGUGUAAACCUCUUUCGCUCAUGGUCAAGCCGCAGCUUUGGGUUGUGGUGAGGGUAGUGGGUAAAGAAGCGCCGGCUAACUACGUG